CCGUGUGCGUGGCGCUGUGUUUAGCCAGAGCAAGGAGUCUUGGUGGGAAAGACUAUAAGGACACACCUGACGCUUAAACCGAUUAGCAAAAAACUAAAACCGACCCUUACCUUAACCAAACCCUAAACCUAAGUUUAAUUCAUUCUGAACUGGUUUGGGCGUCAGGCGUGUCCUUCUAGACUUUUCCAGUGUGGGUAGCCAGGCAAACCACCCAGCACUGGAUUGGUGCAGCUAUGAACAAAUUGGCGCCAUUUUGAAGCCGAGAGGAGGAUCACAGCCGUAGAGGGAAAGACGAUUGGCUACAAUUCAUCAAAUAAGGAUCGACAGUGCCGAGGUUGGACCACAGUGAGAACGAGGAUAUCACAGUCAUGAAGAGUCUGGCUGCACAGGACGACGACAGCAAGCCCUGCAGGUGACGCAAACGACGGACAGCCGCUUCCAGCCAGGACGACAAGACAGGCCAGGAGGCCAAGCCCAAACGUGGGGGAGGAGCCGUGGGCCAAGGCCAAUGCCGCAGACACCACCCUGGAGACGAAAGACGAACAGAACAAUCCUCCCAAAAGAGGUCGCAGGAGACGGCCCCCAAGGGCAUAAGGGGCCGGAAGAAGGCUGCUUGUCAAGCUGAGGAGCAGGGGGAGGAGGAAGAUGGCAGCAGAUGGAGAUGUCUCAGAGCCAGGAAGAGGAGGAGAGCAAGACCACAACCAAAGUGCGACGGAAGAUGGGCAGGAGAAGAUGAGACAGAGAUCAUGUUUUUUUCUCCAAGGUCAGGGGGCCCGUGACCACGAGGACAAGAACAAGAACAGAUGGAGAGGAGCUGUACAUCGAUCGCCUAGGCGAUUUGCAUUUUAUUGUGCAUGUGCAAAGGUGCCUCUGCAGAUGAUGAAAAAAAACGACAAGUGACAAAUCCAAGAUUAAAUCAAGUAUUUGGUCCA
Long non-coding RNA from Oncorhynchus kisutch (coho salmon), 932 nucleotides. RefSeq lists it as uncharacterized. The transcript is spliced from 4 exons. The record is from RefSeq and is a predicted model, not a curated record. Lineage: Eukaryota; Metazoa; Chordata; Actinopteri; Salmoniformes; Salmonidae.